This 800-nucleotide ribosomal RNA is filed under the name uncultured bacterium. RNAcentral describes it as "bacterial SSU rRNA". It matches the Rfam family "Bacterial small subunit ribosomal RNA", at positions 8 to 782 of the family's 1533-position model. The record is from RNAcentral.
AGAGUUUGAUCCUGGCUCAGAAUGAACGCUGGCGGCGUGCCUAACACAUGCAAGUCGCACGAGAAAGGCUAAUCUUCGGAUGGCCUAGUAAAGUGGCGCACGGGUGAGUAACGCGUAGGUAACCUACCCCUGGGACUGGGAUAACAGUGCGAAAGCGCUGCUAAUACCGGAUACGAUCUUGACGCGGGAGCGUCAAGGUGAAAGUCGGCCUCUCGAAGAAGCCGGCGCACGGGGAUGGGCCUGCGUCCUAUCAGCUAGUUGGUAGGGUAACGGCCUACCAAGGCGACGACGGGUAGCUGGUCUGAGAGGAUGAUCAGCCACACUGGCACUGGAACACGGGCCAGACUCCUACGGGAGGCAGCAGUGAGGAAUUUUGCGCAAUGGCCGCAAGGCUGACGCAGCAACGCCGCGUGGGUGAUGAAGGCCUUCGGGUCGUAAAGCCCUGUCAGGUGGGAAGAAAGGCUUGGGGGUAAAUAGCUUCUGAGUUUGACGGUACCACCAGAGGAAGCACCGGCUAACUCCGUGCCAGCAGCCGCGGUAAUACGGAGGGUGCAAGCGUUAUUCGGAAUUACUGGGCGUAAAGCGCGUGUAGGCGGCUCGACAAGUCUGAUGUGAAAGCCCUGGGCUCAACCUGGGAAGUGCAUUGGAAACUGUUUGGCUUGAGUACUGGAGAGGAAGGGAGAAUUCCCGGUGUAGAGGUGAAAUUCGUAGAGAUCGGGAGGAACACCAGUGGCGAAGGCGCCCUUCUGGACGGUUACUGACGCUGAGACGCGAAAGCGUGGGGAGCAAACAGGAUUAGA